RNAcentral lists this ribosomal RNA (393 nucleotides) under Triticum aestivum (bread wheat). Its description in RNAcentral is "partial small subunit ribosomal RNA". Lineage: Eukaryota; Viridiplantae; Streptophyta; Magnoliopsida; Poales; Poaceae. The record is from RNAcentral.
AUGUGCCUUGAUCACCGUGUUGGAAAUAAUACACCUUACAUAAAGGAAUGGAGGGAGUACAAGCUUCACAACAACACAUUCCUGAUCCAGAUUUUCAAGGUUCGGCACAAGUGGGCGAAGCCUUAUUUUAGUGGAAAUUUUUUUGUGAAGCAUACCAGUACACAAAGAAGCGAGAGUGCAAACCAUUUGGUGAAGGGCUACAUCUCGCCUACAUGCCCCAUGAACCUUUUUGUGAAGCAAUAGAACAAAUUGCAGUUUGACCGAGAAGGUGAAGAAGGAUUCCAAGAGAAGAGAACGAGGCUGGUGGGUGCUAAAGCAAAACUUUCUGCAACAAGAGGCAUCAUCUUUUUUCUGAUUUCCAUUCUUGCUAACAGAUUUGUUUGUGUAUUUUAA